Molecule: non-coding RNA, 417 nt
Organism: Rhinolophus ferrumequinum (greater horseshoe bat)
Lineage: Eukaryota; Metazoa; Chordata; Mammalia; Chiroptera; Rhinolophidae
Gene: SCARNA2
Product: small Cajal body-specific RNA 2
Source: Ensembl
CUUUAGCGGAGGGAGCGGCCUGGGGUGAGGGCAGAAAGUAGUGUGCGGCUGUGUCGCGUGGAAGGCGUGUGCGAGCCGAGUGUAAGUGGACGUGUGAGUGUGUGAGCGCGCGUGGGUCGUGCAAGACGAGUGCGUGCGCCCCCCCUUGCGCUCCUUCUCCCGCCUACACAUUGAUCUUAUUUGAUCGGUUUGGGACCCCAGCCCCGCCGGGCCGACCCGAAAUGAAAAGCUCCCUCCUGCGAAGCCCCCUCCUCGGAGGCGCUGUGCAGCGAGGCCCCUAAGGCGGAGGCAACGCCGCGGUCCCGGAGGUCCGGGAGCUGGUCCUACCGGGCCCGGCGCUCAGAAGUGAUGAAUUGAUCAGAUAGACGAGGCCGGGCUUGUCCUGGGCCGCUGAUUAUCGAGGCGAUUCUGAUCUGA